Molecule: ribosomal RNA, 690 nt
Filed under: Triticum aestivum (bread wheat)
Lineage: Eukaryota; Viridiplantae; Streptophyta; Magnoliopsida; Poales; Poaceae
Description: partial small subunit ribosomal RNA
Source: RNAcentral
AUGGCACAGGUAGACAUCCCUGUAUUUCGGUUCGCGCACCACGGCAACGUCGACCGCAUGUGGAAUGUCUGGCGCUGCCUCGGCCACACCGACUUCACUGACACCGACUGGCUUGACAGUAACUUUCUGUUUUAUGACGAGGAGGCCCGCCUUGUCCGCGUCCACGUCCGGGACUGCCUCGACACGCUGGCCUUACGCUACACUUACCAGGACGUCCCUCUGCCGUGGUUGACCGCCAAACCAACUGAUGCAGGAGAUACCAACACUCCGGUUGCCCCGACCACGGGGGUUCUCCCGGCUGUCUUGGACGGGAUUGUGCGGGUGGACGUGCCUAGGACCAAGGUCUCCAGGAGCCGCUUCCAGAAGGACGACGAGGAGGAGGUGCUGAUCGUCGAGGGGAUCGAGAUCGCAGACAGCUCCAAGUACGUCAAGUUCGAUGUGCAUGUGAACGCGCCACAACACGAACAACUCAACGCGGCUCACGCACAGUUUGCUGGCAGUGUGGUGCUCCUGCCGCACAUGUCCGGGCAACACGAGGGCAAGACCAAGAUGUUGGCCAAGUUCGGCAUCUCCGACUUAUUGGACUCCAUCCGAGCGGACGGCGACAAGAAAAUCAUCGUCUCGCUUGUGCCGAGAAGCGCGGGUGAGGUGGUCACUAUGGGAGCCGUCCGCAUCGGCUACAUCAAGUGA